UUUCAGCAACGGAUCUCUUGGCUCUCGCAUCGAUGAAGAACGCAGCGAAAUGCGAUAAGUAAUGUGAAUUGCAGAAUUCAGUGAAUCAUCGAAUCUUUGAACGCACCUUGCGCUCCUUGGUAUUCCGAGGAGCAUGCCUGUUUGAGUGUCAU
Molecule: ribosomal RNA, 152 nt
Filed under: Fomitopsis sp. UOC KAUNP MK37
Lineage: Eukaryota; Fungi; Basidiomycota; Agaricomycetes; Polyporales; Fomitopsidaceae
Description: 5.8S ribosomal RNA
Rfam family: 5.8S ribosomal RNA
About the family: 5.8S ribosomal RNA (5.8S rRNA) is a component of the large subunit of the eukaryotic ribosome. It is transcribed by RNA polymerase I as part of the 45S precursor that also contains 18S and 28S rRNA. Functionally, it is thought that 5.8S rRNA may be involved in ribosome translocation.
Source: RNAcentral